AAUGAACGCUGGUGGCGUGCCUAACACAUGCAAGUCGAACGAGAAAGUGGGCUUCGGCCCGCGAGUACAGUGGCAGACGGGUGAGUAACACGUGGGUAAUCUGCCCCGAAGUGGGGGAUAACUCUCCGAAAGGAGAGCUAAUACCGCAUGAUAUCUCGAGGUCCUCGGGCUUCGAGAUCAAAGCUAGCCUCUGUUUCAUGCUAGCGCUACGGGAGGAGCCUGCGUCCCAUUAGCUUGUUGGUGAGGUAAAGGCUCACCAAGGCACCGAUGGGUAGCCGGCCUGAGAGGGCGAUCGGCCACACUGGAACUGAGACACGGUCAGACUCCUACGGGAGGCAGCAGUGAGGAAUCUUGCGCAAUGGGGGAAACCCUGACGCAGCGACGCCGCGUGGAGGACGAAGGCCUUCGGGUCGUAGACUCCUGUCAAGUGGGACGAACCCCGGGCGAAUGAAUAAGUCGCCCGGCUGACGGUACCGCUGAAGGAAGCCCCGGCUAACUCCGUGCCAGCAGCCGCGGUAAUACGGAGGGGGCCAGCCUUGUUCGGAAUUAUUGGGCGUAAAGGGCGCGUAGGCGGCUAGGCAAGUCAAAGGUGAAAUCCCUCGGCUCAACCGAGGAACUUGCCUCUGAUACUG
Molecule: ribosomal RNA, 632 nt
Filed under: uncultured bacterium
Lineage: Bacteria
Description: bacterial SSU rRNA
Rfam family: Bacterial small subunit ribosomal RNA
Source: RNAcentral